RNAcentral lists this microRNA precursor (108 nucleotides) under Zea mays. RNAcentral describes it as "MIR5565 microRNA precursor family". The record is from Rfam by way of RNAcentral. Lineage: Eukaryota; Viridiplantae; Streptophyta; Magnoliopsida; Poales; Poaceae.
ACUCUAGUAUUGACCCAAUUCACAUGUGUUGAGGUGGAAUGGGGUGUAACUUAAACUAAGUUACAUCCCAAUCUACCUCAACACAUGUGGAUUGUGGUCAAUACUAAA